UAGAUCCUCUGAUGGGCUAAAUUUUGUC
Molecule: non-coding RNA, 28 nt
Filed under: Homo sapiens (human)
Lineage: Eukaryota; Metazoa; Chordata; Mammalia; Primates; Hominidae
Source: RNAcentral